UUAGGCGGACGGGUAAGUAACGCGUGGAGAACCUGCCGUAUACUGGGGGAUAACACUUAGAAAUAGGUGCUAAUACCGCAUAAGCGCACAGCUUCGCAUGAAGCAGUGUGAAAAACUCCGGUGGUAUACGAUGGAUCCGCGUCUGAUUAGCUGGUUGGCGGGGUAAAGGCCCACCAAGGCGACGAUCAGUAGCCGGCCUGAGAGGGUGAACGGCCACAUUGGGACUGAGACACGGCCCAAACUCCUACGGAAGGCAGCAG
Molecule: ribosomal RNA, 260 nt
Filed under: uncultured bacterium
Lineage: Bacteria
Description: partial 16S ribosomal RNA
Rfam family: Bacterial small subunit ribosomal RNA
Source: RNAcentral